RNAcentral lists this ribosomal RNA (465 nucleotides) under Vreelandella stevensii. Its description in RNAcentral is "partial 16S ribosomal RNA". It matches the Rfam family "Bacterial small subunit ribosomal RNA", at positions 338 to 795 of the family's 1533-position model. Lineage: Bacteria; Pseudomonadati; Pseudomonadota; Gammaproteobacteria; Oceanospirillales; Halomonadaceae. The record is from RNAcentral.
CCUACGGGGGGCAGCAGUGGGGAAUAUUGGACAAUGGGGGGAACCCUGAUCCAGCCAUGCCGCGUGUGUGAAGAAGGCCCUCGGGUUGUAAAGCACUUUCAGUGAGGAAGAACGCCUGGUGGUUAAUACCCAUCAGGAAAGACAUCACUCACAGAAGAAGCACCGGCUAACUCCGUGCCAGCAGCCGCGGUAAUACGGAGGGUGCGAGCGUUAAUCGGAAUUACUGGGCGUAAAGCGCGCGUAGGUGGCUUGAUAAGCCGGUUGUGAAAGCCCCGGGCUCAACCUGGGAAUGGCAUCCGGAACUGUCAAGCUAGAGUGCAGGAGAGGAAGGUAGAAUUCCCGGUGUAGCGGUGAAAUGCGUAGAGAUCGGGAGGAAUACCAGUGGCGAAGGCGGCCUUCUGGACUGACACUGACACUGAGGUGCGAAAGCGUGGGUAGCAAACAGGAUUAGAUACCCUUGUAGUC